Molecule: long non-coding RNA, 642 nt
Filed under: Homo sapiens (human)
Lineage: Eukaryota; Metazoa; Chordata; Mammalia; Primates; Hominidae
Description: IQCC and CCDC28B antisense RNA 1
Source: RNAcentral
UGGCGUCGGACCAAGAAGCCCCGGACGCAGGCCUGGUAUGGAGAACGAGAGGAAAGAAGUCCCUUAUCACGCACCUGGGGGGCCGCAGAACACCCGCCCGAGUCUGUAAAAAGUCACAGUUUGAAGAGAAUGAGAGGGGCAGUGUGGGCCUGCGUGGGACGCCUACGCAGCGGACUGCUCCUCAGGCUCGGCGUUCUCGGCCAGGUGCAGCUUCUGGCUGUGCCCGUCAAGGAUCGUGGCGCUUUGGACCAGUCCUUCCUCCCACCCCGGUCUCCCAUCUUGCACAGGUUUAGUUCCCUCACCUGUGCAAAGGGCCGGGGACGAGGGUCUCGGGCCGUCUGUGGACUGAGGUUGCAGUCCCCGCCUGCCCUCUCUCACCCCCUCUCUCUUCAUCCAGAUCGUGCAGGUCAGACACACUGGGGUGUGUGCGCGCGCACUCGCGCUGUUUCUGACUGAGGACCAGGUGAGGUGGUAGUGUAAAUUAGUAAAAAUAAUUGUUCAAUGCUGAAAGGAUAGGAGGACAUCGGACAAGCUUUGCUAUGAUUGAUGUCAGCUAAAGUACUCACAAAGAUUUUGAUCAGUAGUAAAACAUCCCCUACAACCACUUUUCUUCUAAUUUUGGGGAAAUUCUAAAUUCCUGUA